RNAcentral lists this ribosomal RNA (463 nucleotides) under Vreelandella stevensii. RNAcentral's name for it is "partial 16S ribosomal RNA". It matches the Rfam family "Bacterial small subunit ribosomal RNA", at positions 338 to 793 of the family's 1533-position model. Lineage: Bacteria; Pseudomonadati; Pseudomonadota; Gammaproteobacteria; Oceanospirillales; Halomonadaceae. The record is from RNAcentral.
CCUACGGGUGGCAGCAGUGGGGAAUAUUGGACAAUGGGCGAAAGCCUGAUCCAGCCAUGCCGCGUGUGUGAAGAAGGCCUUCGGGUUGUAAAGCACUUUCAGUGGGGAAGAAAGCCUUGGGGCUAAUACCCUCGAGGAAGGACAUCACCCACAGAAGAAGCACCGGCUAACUCCGUGCCAGCAGCCGCGGUAAUACGGAGGGUGCGAGCGUUAAUCGGAAUUACUGGGCGUAAAGCGCGCGUAGGCGGUCUGAUAAGCCGGUUGUGAAAGCCCCGGGCUCAACCUGGGAACGGCAUCCGGAACUGUCAGGCUAGAGUGCAGGAGAGGAAGGUAGAAUUCCCGGUGUAGCGGUGAAAUGCGUAGAGAUCGGGAGGAAUACCAGUGGCGAAGGCGGCCUUCUGGACUGACACUGACGCUGAGGUGCGAAAGCGUGGGUAGCAAACAGGAUUAGAUACCCUUGUAG